RNAcentral lists this ribosomal RNA (460 nucleotides) under uncultured bacterium. Its description in RNAcentral is "partial 16S ribosomal RNA". It matches the Rfam family "Bacterial small subunit ribosomal RNA", at positions 338 to 795 of the family's 1533-position model. The record is from RNAcentral.
CCUACGGGUGGCAGCAGUGAGGAAUAUUGGUCAAUGGCCGGAAGGCUGAACCAGCCAUGCCGCGUGAAGGUCAGUGCCCUAUGGGCGUUAAACUUCUUUUGUGCGGGAGCAAUAAUGGUCACGUGUGGCCAGACGAGAGUACCGUACGAAUAAGCAUCGGCUAACUCCGUGCCAGCAGCCGCGGUAAUACGGGGGAUGCAAGCGUAAUCCGGAUUUAUUGGGUUUAAAGGGUGCGUAGGCGGUGCGGUAAGUCAGCGGUGAAAUGCCCCCGCUCAACGGGGUGAAGUGCCAUUGAUACUGCCUGGCUGGAAUGCGGAUGCCGUGGGAGGAAUGUGUGGUGUAGCGGUGAAAUGCAUAGAUAUCACACAGAACACCGAUUGCGAAGGCAUCUCACGAAUCCGCGAUUGACGCUGAUGCACGAAAGCGUGGGUAUCAAACAGGAUUAGAUACCCGGGUAGUC